Molecule: ribosomal RNA, 1943 nt
Filed under: human gut metagenome
Description: bacterial LSU rRNA
Rfam family: Bacterial large subunit ribosomal RNA
Source: RNAcentral
UUAAGUGACUAAGCGUACAAGGUGGAUGCCUUGGCAAUCAGAGGCGACGAAGGACGUGCUAAUCUGCGAAAAGCUUGGAUGAGUCGAUAAGAGGCGUUUAAUCCAAGAUGUCCGAAUGGGGAAACCCAGUAGAUGAAGAAUCUACUAUCACUUACUGAAUCCAUAGGUAAGUGAGGCAAACCGGGAGAACUGAAACAUCUAAGUACCCCGAGGAAAAGAAAUCAACCGAGAUUUCGUUAGUAGCGGCGAGCGAACGCGAAGGAGCCUGUUAGUGAUAAUGACAGAGACAGAGGAACAAGCUGGGAAGCUUGGCGAUACAGGGUGAUAGCCCCGUACUCGAAGUCCAGGUCAUGGUACUAAGCUAACGACAAGUAGGGCGGGACACGUGAUAUCCUGUUUGAAGAUGGGGGGACCAUCCUCCAAGGCUAAAUACUCCUGAUUGACCGAUAGUGAACCAGUACUGUGAAGGAAAGGCGAAAAGAACCCCGGUGAGGGGAGUGAAAUAGAACCUGAAACCUUGUACGUACAAGCAGUGGGAGCCCUUUAAGGGUGACUGCGUACCUUUUGUAUAAUGGGUCAGCGACUUAUAUUUUGUAGCGAGGUUAACCGAAUAGGGGAGCCGAAGGGAAACCGAGUCUUAACUGGGCGUCUAGUUGCAAGGUAUAGACCCGAAACCCGGUGAUCUAGCCAUGGGCAGGUUGAAGGUUGGGUAACACUAACUGGAGGACCGAACCGACUAAUGUUGAAAAAUUAGCGGAUGACUUGUGGCUGGGGGUGAAAGGCCAAUCAAACCGGGAGAUAGCUGGUUCUCCCCGAAAUCUAUUUAGGUAGAGCCUUGAGCGGACACCUUCGGGGGUAGAGCACUGUUUCGGCUAGGGGUCCAUCCCGGAUUACCAACCCGAUGCAAACUACGAAUACCGAAGAGUGAUACUCAGGAGACACACGGCGGGUGCUAACGUCCGUCGUGGAGAGGGAAACAACCCAGACCGCCAGCUAAGGUCCCAAAGUCUAUAUUAAGUGGGAAACGAAGUGGGAAGGCUUAGACAGCUAGGAUGUUGGCUUAGAAGCAGCCAUCAUUUAAAGAAAGCGUAAUAGCUCACUAGUCGAGUCGGCCUGCGCGGAAGAUGUAACGGGGCUCAAAUAUAGCACCGAAGCUGCGGCAUCAGACGAAAGUCUGUUGGGUAGGGGAGCGUUCUGUAAGCGGAUGAAGGUGGCUCGAGAGGGUUGCUGGACGUAUCAGAAGUGCGAAUGCUGACAUAAGUAACGAUAAAACGGGUGAAAAACCCGUUCGCCGGAAGACCAAGGGUUCCUGUCCAACGUUAAUCGGGGCAGGGUGAGUCGGCCCCUAAGGCGAGGCUGAAAAGCGUAGUCGAUGGGAAACGGGUUAAUAUUCCCGUACUUGGGUAAACUGCGAUGUGGGGACGGAGCAGGUUAGGUUAUCGCACUGUUGGAUAUGUGCGUUUAAGUUGGUAGGUGUGAAGUUUAGGCAAAUCCGGACUUCUUUAACACUGAGAGAUGAUGACGAGGCUCUACGGAGCUGAAGUAACCGAUACCACACUUCCAGGAAAAGCCACUAAGCUUCAGGUUUAUCUAAACCGUACUGAAAACCGACACAGGUGGUCAGGUAGAGAAUACUCAGGCGCUUGAGAGAACUCGGGUGAAGGAACUAGGCAAAAUAGCACCGUAACUUCGGGAGAAGGUGCGCCGGCGUAGAUUGUAGUCCCUUGCGGGCGAAGGUUGAACCGGUCGAAGAUACCAGCUGGCUGCAACUGUUUAUUAAAAACACAGCACUCUGCAAACACGAAAGUGGACGUAUAGGGUGUGAUGCCUGCCCGGUGCUGGAAGGUUAAUUGAUGGUGUAAUCGAAAGAGAAGCUCCUGAUCGAAGCCCCAGUAAACGGCGGCCGUAACUAUAACGGUCCUAAGGUAGCGAAAUUCCUUGUC